Schistocerca cancellata (South American locust) is the source of this 298-nucleotide long non-coding RNA. RefSeq lists it as uncharacterized. The record is from RefSeq and is a predicted model, not a curated record. The transcript is spliced from 3 exons. Lineage: Eukaryota; Metazoa; Arthropoda; Insecta; Orthoptera; Acrididae.
GGAGAAAGUGGCGGACUGAAAGUGCUUUGAGGGCCCGCGGUGAACGGCGGCGGGUGGCCCGGACGUCGUGAAUGGCAGCUCAGUGUUGGUGUUGAUGCUGACUUGUCAACAACGCCAUCAUUCUCACUUGUAAUGGAGUCAUCUGUUACACAUCUGAACUAACAUGGAUGGAGGUGCAUAGAGGAUUUCCGUGCCGCUUACAAGAGGUUGUCGUGAGUGAAGCAUAAUGAUAACGCUUGAAGAAGAGGCUCAGUGUGUGGAAUGGUUCACUCAGAUCAAAUCGGACAAAUAGAUUCAA